Long non-coding RNA from Cercocebus atys (sooty mangabey), 2535 nucleotides. RefSeq lists it as uncharacterized. Lineage: Eukaryota; Metazoa; Chordata; Mammalia; Primates; Cercopithecidae. The record is from RefSeq and is a predicted model, not a curated record. The transcript has 2 exons.
GUCCAUGAUCCCCCGUCACUCCUUCUUUCUCUUGACUCACCGUUCUCCAUGUGGCCCUACCUAGGGUGCUGUGCCUCCUGUUAUUAGGUAUCUAUAUAUAUUCUGCAAUCAUGACCAAACAGAAGGACUAAAUCUGGAUCAGAAUCUGAAAUGUAAAAAGGCUACUUGUCAACCACACCAUUGUUUUCUGUUGGAGCUAGCAGAGCAGCCUCGGCUGCACAUUCCUGGGACGUGAAUAAUAUCGGUUGUGAUUACACUUCAGUAUCUCAUCCAUUACCAGCCCUGUGAACACUGAAUAUAACCUAAUUAGGAAAUGUGAAAGGCCCUUUGCUAGGGAUGAGUGCUGGGGCAGCAGAGGUCCACAUGCCUUCCCGACACAGGGAUUCACUGAGUUUCACACACAGGUUUGGAUCCUGCAGGGCUCAAGGACAGACUUUACUGGUCUAGUCCACAUUCCUCGUAUAAUCACCAGUAAGCUGAGAAUGUGACACCUUGGAUUCCAUCCUAUGUUAUGCUCCUCUUUAAAUGCAUUGCAAAGGAGAUAUGCCAAGACUGAUAAGUCAGUCAAUUUCAAAUAGGCAUUAAAGUAUUAAUGAAGUGAUUAACUCCCUCUAACACAUUUUUUUGUUUACUAGUUGCUACUGGCCUUGAAUAGGAAUUUCGAAUUUGUUGUUGACAAUUGGCUUCUCAUCUUUCACUGAAUUCUUCUAAGCUUGUCUUUUCCUACACAGCUCUUCAAAUGCUUUCAGAGGACUGCAUUCUGUCUUCCAAAGUGCAGAGAGCAGAGCACUAAGGAUGUCUGCAGGCUUAAUUACAAAGGAUGUGAUUCUGUUAUUCUUAUGCCAUAACUUUUCUUUGCAGUAAAAGCUGCUGCAUUCAUUUAUUCAAUCCUAUGUCCCUGCAUUCACCUGACACUUGCUGAGCACCUGCUAUAGUCAGAUUCACCUCAUGCCCAUGGUGCUCUGGCAUCCUGCAUUUAUAGGGUAACUGGCAGGAGAAAAGAAGAGGCCUGUGGCCAUAAGGCAGUGAGAUGGAGUCAUCUGCUCUGGGAGUUAGCACCCUGCCACCCACACAGAACCCAGCCAACUGAGCUAACUGAUAAGUCAACCUUAAUUCUGCUCUAAAUUAUUUUUCAUCAAACCACCCUCUGCUGAAUCAAUGUACAUUCCUAUAACCUGUAUCUUGCCCUGGUAAUGUGUGAACUUCAAUGUCAUGGUCCAAGGUUUUGCUGCUGGGACAUGUGGUCUCAGGAUGAUCAUCAGAAUCCUUCACUAGAUGCUCUAAACCAUCACUAGAUGCUCUACAGUUUGCCACUUGUUUCCAAGUGUCCUAUGUCCACCUCAUUUUACAGAACUGGGCUUCCCUUGAGUUCUCAUUCUGGGUACCUAGUCUAUUUCCCUGCAAUUCUUAUUGCUGGGUUCUCUCCUCAGGGAAUGGAGCCUGGCUUUGGUAUAGAUUUCCAUGAAGUACUAGGAUUCCAGAUGGCGCCCACUCAAUUUUGUUCACCCAGCUCUGACCAUGAGUGAACCCUUCUGUAACUUCUGCCUUCUAACCUGGUGUUUGCCUGCAUUGUAUCUGGACAUUGCUCAGUUGCCUUGGUUGCUGUGCCCCACCUGCUUGUCUGAACUUCUGUUGUUACUCCAGUCCCCGCCUGUCCCUGCAGCUCCACACUCACUCCCACCCCCAUUUGUGUUAAUGUCAAUGCCUUACUGAAAAAUCUUGAAAUGUGAUAGGGAAGAUAGUGGUGGCAUUGUUACUACUACUAUUACCUUACCAUUUGGAAAACUGAGGCUCAGAGGAUUAAGUGACUUGGCCAAUUACUUGUCUAAUAAAGAGCAGACCCCUGUCUCUAAUAGUUUGCUCUUUGCCCAAAUCCAUGCUGUUUGCUCUGAAAAGUCUUAUGAGUAGCUUUGACAAUUAGAUGCUUUACAAAGGUAAAGAAUACACAGGAUAUAAAGGUUUUAUUGUUUUUAUGAGCAGCACGUGGGCUUUCUCCAGUAUGUAGCAACGCAUUUCUUCUGUUGCUAACCAGGUCUUUGAAACAUAAAAGCUUUUGCUUCAUUCUCAGAUGAAGCUUGCACGUGGGCGGGAAAUUUUGACAAUGUCUACAGGUGCCAGUGUGAACAAGUCUAAAACUUCAUUUGUGGUUAUUUAGAAUGGAAGCCUCAUUUCUAAACAGAUAAUGCUAUAAAAGGUGGUUAGAUUCUUGGGCUAGCUCACAAAAGCAGUUUAACUAAUAAUGCAGCUGGAGUACAUUUCUAAUUCAUAAGAUAGCUGAAGUAAUGUAUAUGUUAUGCUCUUGCAACAUAAUAAUCAAGGCUCUGAUUAAUUAAGGAAUGUGUAUUUGGAGUCCUGGUCUCUGUAGAACUGUCUCCUGACAGCAGCAGUGAUUUCACCACUAUUGGCUCCAGAGUGCUUAGGGGUUGCUGGGAAAUUUUCCUGAAGUUUCAUAGCCCAGAGAGCUAGUUUGUUAGGUGGGAAGUCAGAAGUUACUCUAAAGAGAAGUCAGGAGUUUUUGGGAAAAAAAAAAAAAAA